Molecule: ribosomal RNA, 253 nt
Filed under: uncultured bacterium
Lineage: Bacteria
Description: partial 16S ribosomal RNA
Rfam family: Bacterial small subunit ribosomal RNA
Source: RNAcentral
UACGUAGGUGGCAAGCGUUGUCCGGAUUUACUGGGCGUAAAGAGCGCGCAGGCGGUCGUUCAAGUCGCGUGUGAAAGCCCCCGGCUCAACUGGGGAGGGUCACGCGAUACUGAUCGACUCGAAGGCAGGAGAGGGAAGUGGAAUUCCCGGUGUAGUGGUGAAAUGCGUAGAUAUCAGGAGGAACACCAGUGGCGAAGGCGAGUCCCUGGACAACACCUGACACUGAGGCACGAAAGCUAGGGGAGCAAACAGG